AUUUAAUUUAGAUAUUAUGAACAAUGAAAUUAGACCCAUUCUCACGAUUAUAUACGUAAUAAUUUUAAGUGUCACUGAAUUUGUGUUAACAUAAUUCACUCAUUUAUAGGGCAUAGAGAAUAGAGAUACCGACGCCAUCUUAAAUACAAAGAUGUGAUGGAAGUUGGACGCAAAAUCAGGACUGAUAAAGAGACAAUCUUUACGAGUAAAGCUUUAUAAAGUACCUACUCAAAGUCGCUUUAUAGAUCUCGGCCUCAACGAAAACGCGUAAAUAUCGCAAGAAACUGAUUUUCAAAACCGAUUUUUUGUACUACAUGCACUUUCUAGAAGUAUGCGCGAAUUGCGAUAGCCCUACUUGUAAGAUGCGACGCGGCACCUUUAUAUGUAUUUCUCCGCGAAUCUCAACGCAACUAUCUGAACUGUAUGAUUGCUAAACUACGAUUUUAACAAAGGAAAUUAUCUACACAGUUAGUUCAUUUUAUUUCGUAAAAUUUAAUUUGUGCUAUUCAUAAAGGCACCUUUUUGCCUUCCCCCAUUUAACACUUGUAUGAACCUGACUUAAUGCUUUAAUAUCGAUCUUAUAUAAACCUAUUACGCUAAUAAUUAUCUACAUAAUUAUCACAUUUGACCGUCUCUACAAUACAAUAUAGCGUCUCUAAUAUAUUAAUUAAUAUUCGAUUUGAGCUUUCGACAUUAUUAUUUUAUUAGCAUCAGAACACAUAAUAAUAUUAUAAUUCAUACUUGUGAUAAAAAAUUUAUAACGUAUGUUGUACGUUGUCUUAUCCAUGAAUCUAUAAUAGGUAUAUACCUGGAUUGCAUAUUCUUAAUAUCUUAUUAAAGCAAAACCUACUUAUUGCUAUAGACUCGACUAGACUCCGAUCUCUCGCUCUAAUUUGUUAGGCGAAGUAGGAUAGCGAUAAGUAGGUAUUUGCUUCAAAUAUAUAUUGGAAGUGAACUAUUUCAUGGUCUUAUCCUUAAUCGUCCACUUUUUCGUCUUAUGAGCUCUGGAUUUUUAUACAAAAUAAAUAUAUUAUAGUUUACAUUUAUGUUAUCCAUCUAAAACUUCGAUUCCAAAUGCUAUUUACUUAGUUUAAUUUUUAAUAUCAUGGUAAUUUGUAACUUUCUCGUUAUUAGCUACAUAAAGGUAGAUCCACACCUGCGCACGCGCACGAACCGUGCACCGAACGUAAUGCGGUCCGGCCAUAAGGCUUCGCCACACAGUUGACGGGACGGGACGGUGCCGCGAUGUAAUUGUCAUGUACUGAGAAUUGAAAUAUAGAACAGACGUCGAGAAACACCCAAGUUUAAAUAACCCACCGAAAUAAAUAAAUAAGUAGGUACAGUCUAAUAACCAAACCAGGUCAGCGUAAAAUUAAAAAUCGAGAACAAACAAACAAACUAACAAAAAUUAAACAAAGGAUUACCAAAAAGAGUGUGCAAAAAGACAAGACGUUCGCACCGCACGAUAGACAUUUAACUGACAUUUUGGUCACGUGCUCUAUGUUCGACUGUUCGUUAUCUGCGACCGAUGACGUACGGUUUCUUACUUCGCAUCUUUCUCAUACCAAUGUAAUAAGAAAAGGACAGACAAACCUAACUUAGUUUAUACCUGUCAAACUUCUCGUGAGUCUAUUGUAUAGAGGGACUUCAGCGCACAAAAAUUUUUCGUCAUUAAAUGUAAUAGUCGUGUUCCGUCCUUUUGCAGCACUAUUAAAAAGAGAAAGAUACAGAUACUCUAAAUUUAGUUUAAAG
This is a long non-coding RNA of Maniola jurtina (meadow brown), 1752 nucleotides long. RefSeq lists it as uncharacterized. The transcript has 2 exons. The record is from RefSeq and is a predicted model, not a curated record. Lineage: Eukaryota; Metazoa; Arthropoda; Insecta; Lepidoptera; Nymphalidae.